RNAcentral lists this ribosomal RNA (923 nucleotides) under Shigella flexneri. Its description in RNAcentral is "partial 23S ribosomal RNA". It matches the Rfam family "Bacterial large subunit ribosomal RNA", at positions 1 to 956 of the family's 2925-position model. Lineage: Bacteria; Pseudomonadati; Pseudomonadota; Gammaproteobacteria; Enterobacterales; Enterobacteriaceae. The record is from RNAcentral.
GGGUUGUGAGGUUAAGCGACUAAGCGUACACGGUGGAUGCCUUGGCAGUCAGAGGCGAUGAAGGACGUGCUAAUCUGCGAUAAGCGUCGGUAAGGUGAUAUGAACCGUUAUAACCGGCGAUUUCCGAAUGGGGAAACCCAGUGUGUUUCGACACACUAUCAUUAACUGAAUCCAUAGGUUAAUGAGGCGAACCGGGGGAACUGAAACAUCUAAGUACCCCGAGGAAAAGAAAUCAACCGAGAUUCCCCCAGUAGCGGCGAGCGAACGGGGAGCAGCCCAGAGCCUGAAUCAGUGUGUGUGUUAGUGGAAGCGUCUGGAAAGGCGCGCGAUACAGGGUGACAGCCCCGUACACAAAAAUGCACAUGCUGUGAGCUCGAUGAGUAGGGCGGGACACGUGGUAUCCUGUCUGAAUAUGGGGGGACCAUCCUCCAAGGCUAAAUACUCCUGACUGACCGAUAGUGAACCAGUACCGUGAGGGAAAGGCGAAAAGAACCCCGGCGAGGGGAGUGAAAAAGAACCUGAAACCGUGUACGUACAAGCAGUGGGAGCACGCUUAGGCGUGUGACUGCGUACCUUUUGUAUAAUGGGUCAGCGACUUAUAUUCUGUAGCAAGGUUAACCGAAUAGGGGAGCCGAAGGGAAACCGAGUCUUAACUGGGCGUUAAGUUGCAGGGUAUAGACCCGAAACCCGGUGAUCUAGCCAUGGGCAGGUUGAAGGUUGGGUAACACUAACUGGAGGACCGAACCGACUAAUGUUGAAAAAUUAGCGGAUGACUUGUGGCUGGGGGUGAAAGGCCAAUCAAACCGGGAGAUAGCUGGUUCUCCCCGAAAGCUAUUUAGGUAGCGCCUCGUGAAUUCAUCUCCGGGGGUAGAGCACUGUUUCGGCAAGGGGGUCAUCCCGACUUACCAACCCGAUGCAAACUG